GACGAACGCUGGCGGCGUGCUUAACACAUGCAAGUCGAACGGAAAGGCCCUGCUUUUGUGGGGUGCUCGAGUGGCGAACGGGUGAGUAACACGUGAGUAACCUGCCCUUGACUUUGGGAUAACUUCAGGAAACUGGGGCUAAUACCGGAUAGGAGCUCCUGCUGCAUGGUGGGGGUUGGAAAGUUUCGGCGGUUGGGGAUGGACUCGCGGCUUAUCAGCUUGUUGGUGGGGUAGUGGCUUACCAAGGCUUUGACGGGUAGCCGGCCUGAGAGGGUGACCGGCCACAAUGGGACUGAGAUACGGCCCAGACUCCUACGGGAGGCAACAGUGGGGAAUAUUGCACAAUGGGCGGAAGCCUGAUGCAGAAGCGCCGCGUGCGGGAUGACGGCCUUCGGGUUGUAAACCGCUUUCGCCUGUGACGAAGCGUGAGUGACGGUAAUGGGUAAAGAAGCACCGGCUAACUACGUG
RNAcentral lists this ribosomal RNA (468 nucleotides) under uncultured bacterium. RNAcentral's name for it is "partial 16S ribosomal RNA". It matches the Rfam family "Bacterial small subunit ribosomal RNA", at positions 28 to 507 of the family's 1533-position model. The record is from RNAcentral.